RNAcentral lists this ribosomal RNA (567 nucleotides) under uncultured bacterium. RNAcentral's name for it is "partial 16S ribosomal RNA". It matches the Rfam family "Bacterial small subunit ribosomal RNA", at positions 355 to 912 of the family's 1533-position model. The record is from RNAcentral.
UGGGGAAUAUUGCACAAUGGGCGCAAGCCUGAUGCAGCCAUGCCGCGUGUGUGAAGAAGGCCUUCGGGUUGUAAAGCACUUUCAGCGAGGAGGAAGGUGGUGAGCUUAAUACGCUCAUCAAUUGACGUUACUCGCAGAAGAAGCACCGGCUAACUCCGUGCCAGCAGCCGCGGUAAUACGGAGGGUGCAAGCGUUAAUCGGAAUUACUGGGCGUAAAGCGCACGCAGGCGGUUUGUUAAGUCAGAUGUGAAAUCCCCGGGCUCAACCUGGGAACUGCAUUUGAAACUGGCAAGCUAGAGUCUCGUAGAGGGGGGUAGAAUUCCAGGUGUAGCGGUGAAAUGCGUAGAGAUCUGGAGGAAUACCGGUGGCGAAGGCGGCCCCCUGGACGAAGACUGACGCUCAGGUGCGAAAGCGUGGGGAGCAAAACAGGAUUAGAUACCCUGGUAGUCCACGCUGUAAACGAUGUCGAUUUUGGAGGUUGUGCCCUUGAGGCGUGGCUUCCGGAGCUAACGCGUUAAAUCGACCGCCUGGGGAGUACGGCCGCAAGGUUAAAACUUAAAUGAAUUG